AUGGAUGUUAAGACAACUUUCCUAAAUGGAGAGUUGGAGGAGGAAAUUUACAUGGAACAACCCGAUGGUUUUGUAGUAGAUGGUCAUGAAGGAAAAGUGUGUAAAUUGUUGAAAUCUUUGUAUGGUUUGAGACAAGAACCUAAGCAAUGGCACGAGAAGUUUGAAAGAACUUUGACUUCUACGGGCUUUGUUGCAAAUGAAGCCAACAAGUGUGUGUACUAUCGCCAUGGUGGGGGCGAAGGAGUUAUAUUAUGUUUGUAUGUUGAUGACAUACUUAUAUUUGGAACAAAUAUCAAGGUCAUUCAGGAAGUGAAAGAUUUUCUGAAUCAAAACUUUGAGAUGAAAGACCUUGGAGUAGCUGAUGUUAUCUUGAACAUCAAGCUUUUAAGAGGUGGUGAUGGUGGGAUCACUCUCUUGCAGUCUCACUAUGUGGAGAAGAUUCUGGGUCGCUUUGGAUAUUCAGAUUGCAAACCUUCUCCGACACCUUAUGAUCCGAGUGUUUUGAUUCGGAAGAACGAAGGAGAAACAAAGGAUCAAUUGAGAUAUUCUCAAAUCAUUGGCUCGCUUAUGUAUUUAGCUAGUGCUACGAGGCCUGACAUCUCGUUUUCUGUGAGUAAACUAAGCCGGUUUGUUUCAAAACCGGGAGAUGUUCAUUGGCAUGCACUUGAGAGAAUAAUGCGCUAUCUGAAAGGUACUGCGAGUUAUGGGCUUCACUAUACCGGGUAUCCAAGAGUACUCGAAGGUUAUAGUGAUGCAAAUUGGAUAUCUGAUGCUGAUGAGCUUAAAGCGACAAGCGGUUAUGUGUUUACACUUGGUGGUGCUGCUGUUUCCUGGAAGUCUUGCAAGCAGACCAUCUUAACAAGGUCAACAAUGGAAGCAGAACUCACAACAUUAGACACGGCAACAGUUGAAGCAGAAUGGCUUCGAGAACUUUUGAUGGACUUGCCGGUGGUUGAAAAACCAAUACCAGCUAUUCUAAUGAACUGUGAUAAUCAAACAGUGAUCGUCAAGACUGAAAUCUGUCAGGUUCAUGAGAAACUCCGGAGUUAUAGCGUUGGACUAUAUAAACACAUCGAAGAAUCUGGCAGAUCCCUUCACAAAGGGUUUAUCACGAAAUGUGAUAGACAAUGCAUCGAAGGAGAUGGGAUUGAGACCCAUUACAUAAGUUGUUCAUGGUGGUAA
This 1182-nucleotide ribosomal RNA is filed under the name Triticum aestivum (bread wheat). RNAcentral describes it as "partial small subunit ribosomal RNA". The record is from RNAcentral. Lineage: Eukaryota; Viridiplantae; Streptophyta; Magnoliopsida; Poales; Poaceae.